GGGGUGGCCGCAGGGUGGGUGCUACUUCUGAAAAGCGGAAGGUCGGCGGUUCGACCCCGCCCCUGCCCA
Molecule: transfer RNA, 69 nt
Filed under: Actinomadura citrea
Lineage: Bacteria; Bacillati; Actinomycetota; Actinomycetes; Streptosporangiales; Thermomonosporaceae
Description: tRNA-Ser
Source: RNAcentral